AGAGUCAUGAGUCUCUCUGCACUGGUCCAAUCACUGCUCAGUGCUGUCUGAGUCCAGCGCUCUCUUUUUAAAUCCCCCUCUCUGUGGUGGAUCAGCACUCGCAGCGCAGCCCUCCGGUGAUACAGCAAGUGGUAGAGAAGUCUGCUGAAACAGCCUACACAUUUUCCGGCUGUGAGUGGGGCCUUCAUGGAUUCCCCGUACAAUGGCAACACGUCCCUCCAGACCUCCACCUCCAACCUCAACGCCAACUUCUCCCGACCGACCGAGGCGGAAGAGGAGGGCAAGUACUCCAGCGACGCCAUCUGGCUUUGGGUGGCCGUCAUUGCAACCAUCGGCAACAUAGUAGUGGUAGCAGUGGUUUGCGCCUGUGCCUUCUAAGACCUGUUAGUUGCAAGCACACAGCCGAAACAUCCCCCUUGCCCCUUGUCUUUCCUCCACUUGAACCUAUCCCCUGUAUUCAUUUGACUUUUGACUUUUGUAAGUGUCCAUCCAUAAUAUUAAAGCCAAGGCCCCGUUCUGAGGAUCAAUGGAAUAUGAUAGUGUAAAUAUAGGGACUGGCUUAACUGAUGUUCUCUAGGACUAGGAAUGAGAGAAACAAUCCUCUGUAGUUACCAUACUGUAUCUUACCUUAAGCCUAUGUCUCACACUGUUAAACAAAAAAAAAUCAUGAGAAACGGUGAAGUGAGCAGAUGUGGGCUGUGCCUUUUUAUAAUGAACACGGUAAAUUAGUUAAGGAAGUGGGCAAUAUAUAAAGCAGCUGAGUGAGCCUCCCUUCUGCUUACCACCAGAGGUCAGCCUAAAGGAUUAUGGAAGUGUACAGCUGUGAGAUCCCCUCUGCCUGUGAACCUGAACAGAGCACCACACCAUAUAUCUUUGUCUUGUUGAUGUCAUGUGACUGUUUGUCUGGAAUGGAUGUGUUGAUGCUGCUGUCUUGGUCCAGUUCUCUCUUGAAAAAUGUUUUUUUUAUUUUUUUUAUCUCCACGAGACUAAUCUGCUUAAAUAAGGGUGAAAUAAAUAAAUCAGCAGUUCUCGUUGUGGCUGGCCAUCGUCUCGGAGACCAGUGGAGAGAUAUGUGACAGAUGGUGGCUGGUAAUGGGGCAGAGGGGACAGCGGAGGGGCCCAGGGCAGGCUUGGCAGUGCCCCCAGUACCUGGUGUUCUUUCCUGUGACUGCUACACCACUGCACUACCAUUACUGCUCUGUCCUGUCCUCAUCAGCCUGUCAGUGAUAGAAAUCUCCCCAAGCACUUUAUAAAGCGCAAUAAAGUGGGGAGUUUUCUUCCAUUUUAACUGCAUUGUUCUGCAGUGGCUGUAGACCUGUGCCAGUUUAACUAUGCAGUGAAGGCAUCCUAUUGGGCACACACUGGUUGAAUCAAUGUUGUUUCCACGUCAUUUCAAUGAAACGACGUUGAACCAACAUGGAAUAGAUGUCGAAUUGCCAUCAGUGGGAUAGCAGUGGCUAAUGUUUAUGAGUGAGACAAAUGUAUAGAAACACAGUAUCACCCACAAGCCAAAUGAGUGAAUGAAGUUGUCAGCACAAAUCAGAUGUUAUACCACCCCUGCUGACAUUAUCUGAAGUUACGGAACCACCAAUUACAUUGCACUAAAUAAUUGAGCCGGCCCACCAUUACCAGACCACUGCUACAACAGCCUCAAGCUGUUGAGCUAGCAGUCAAUGAGUUCGCUCGUCAUAAGAAACCCCAUUGCUGUUAACACUCAUUUUUUUGUUGCUCUGCCAGGCAGUCAGAAUCUCACAUUUGCCUCAGAAUGUCUCUCAGUAGACUAGUGUGUGUAGGUGGCAGCAGCCCCAGUAGUUCUGUGCUGUGCUGUCUCCCAUGCACCCAGUGGAGUCGGGCCACAGACUUGUCAAACAGCAGGGCUUUAAUGAGAUGUAAUGCCUCUCUCUCUCUCUCUUUCCUAAAGCGAACACUGACCUCCCGUUGCGCUGUGGUGAUCAGAACAGAGCUGAUCCCUGCUGCACUCAGCUGCUCUGAACAAAGAUAGUGCUUCAAGUGCAUUUUUAGAGUGUGACUUCCUCAUUUAAUCAGCACUCGUUGACAGAGAGAAAGGGGAAGGAGAGAGGAGUGGAUGAGAGGAGUGGCUGCAUGGGAAUUGAUAUUUAACAGCCAACUUCCAUGUCAUCUCUUUGAAAUACAGAACUUUUUUUGAAGUUGAAUGGAGAAUUCCAUUAUUUUUAUUGAAACCAACGAAGUGGAAUAAAAAGUUUGAAAAUGGAGAGAUUUAGGAUCAAAGGCCUGGCUGAGCCAUCACUUCACACAGCUAAUUGCCCUGAUCUCACUGUACAGUAGAGUUAAUGAAAACAAAGAGACCGAUUCAUCAUGGCAUCUCUGAGCGUUCCUUUUCAGGGUCCUUAGAGAGCUUAGCCAGAAACAUGCGGGGACACUAAUCUGCUGUCUGUUAAAAUAAACAACAACAAUCACACUGAAUGGGGUCUUCAUAAGUAACUGCUGGCAAUAACUCAAGAUGACGCUAACAAGUUAGAAUUAUACAUCCCCACUAUAUGUAGUUACAUUAAUACUGUAACUAUUCUGAAGCCAAUUUCAUAUGGACUAGGUGAGGAAUCCCAGUUAGCUAUAAGAGGAAUUUCUUCUACCCUUGUAUCGGCUGUGUGCUUUGACAUGGGACUGGUUAAGGCUCAGGUGCCCACUGUCUACGGCUCAAAUUAUGUGCCUGAACUGACUAACACAACUCCUACCCGUCAACUGCUUAUUGGCCAUGGACGCCCCUUGUGAUCACCAUGGAUGAUGGUCCUCCUACACACCACAAAAGGUCAUCACAGCCUCAAGUCCAGGCCCAGAGGGGACUGAAGUCUGCUUAAUCACACCCCAUAGAGCAUUCCAUCCUCCUUCUCCUUUCCCCUAUGUUCUCUCUCCUUCCAUCCAUGCAGAGCACCAGACCGUGCUUUCUGCAUUGGCACUGGCCUCUGACCCGAGGCAGGGCACCUCAUGCCCACAUGCCUCUUCCUUCCCAGGCAACAAGAAAUAGUCCGGUCGUUGCUGGGUGAAAUGGACAAGUCACUCCUACGAGAGGAGAACUGUAAGAGCAAGGAGCAGCUGGACUCCCAGGAAUUUUCCAUCCUUCCUCGGCCUCCAGGAAUAUAUAUGCUAAUUAAAGCUGACUUCCUAUAUCCUGAGUACAGCAGAGACAGUAUGGUUGACUAGGGACUGUGACUUUAUAAAAGCCCCCAGAGGAAACCCAUAAAGACUACAAGGAGGCUGGGAGGAAUAUUGUGUAUAGGUGGGACUUGAGAGGUGACAGUAACAGACAUCAUAUUUAUGACUUCAACAAAUGAUACCAUAUCUUAUUCAAGGUUACUUGUAGUUAACUUGAUUUGGAAUGUGCUGUGACUCAUGACACUCAAAGGACCUAGAAAGUGAAACCACACUAUGUCCAUCCUCCUGGAGCCCUGUAUGUCUUUGUUUUGAAAUGGAUUUCUGACAGCGAUUCACAUACUCAGUGCAAUGAAUGGAUGGAUAUUUAUCGACUUCCUUGACUCUGAAGACUUGGAUUCUACAUUUCUGUGCAUCCAGUUGCAGUGUUGUACGUUCUGAUACCUCCCUGUAGGUGUCAGGGUUACUGCUAUGAAAUACUGAUUAACAGAAAGGCUGUUGGCUAAAUACAGGAGCUGUAUUAGUUCAAUUAAUUCACAAUGUUAAUUCACAAAAGCUUUCUAUAACAAUUACUUCAUACAAAAUACUGCACAGAGUCAUGUCACUGCAAUUGUUUUAAAUUACAUUUCUAGAGGGGGAGGGGAACCCUUACUGUCUUGACUUUCCAUAAAUGUAUGACAAACUUUGAAAAGAUAUCUUAAAAAAAAACAGGAAAUCUAUCAUUUAGGGGUUUAUUUUAAUUUCAGUAUGUGUAUAAGCACGGUUGCAGUGUACAGUAUAAACACUAGGGGGGUUAUUGACACCAUUUAUAUUUUUAACAUGAUAUUUGAGGCUCAUUAUUAUUUUGUUCCCAUGCUAGAUUAACCAAAACAUGCGCACACACGCAUUGUGAAACGUGGCUUGCAUUACAGGAGCCAGGAUUCAAUACGUGUACUGUAUACGGAUAAUGGAUGUGUGUACACGUCAGUAAAUUAGACCAGCUCUGUUGUUCAUUAGCUCCUCACUACCAGUAGUCCCAACAUCCAAGCCGCGUGUGCAUGCUCAUUGCAAAGACGUCUUAAUAUGGAAAACACUUAGACGCAGCUGGUGCCGAGACCACAUGACAGUUCGAACCAGGAUAAUUUUCUUGUCUUUUCGAAUUUCUAUUGUGAUAUUUUGAUUUAGUAUGAGCUUACUGAGCUUGCUUGCAUGUAUUGGGUUUACUUCCGUACCGACAUAUUGUUAGUCUUCAACUCUGCAAGCUGCGUUCCACUAAGGAAUAAAUCAUGUAAUAAUCAUGACAUUAUGGAAUAUUGAUUGGAGGAUUCAUUACUUGGCACAUGUAGAACUAAUGUGGAAUAUUUUUUUGUCAACUUUUUAUUGAUCAUGUACAUAUUUCCAAUGUUUUAGCAAUUGUCAGUGCAGAAACAUCGCUGCCAAAGUCUUGAUGUAUUUUUUUUACAAACUCUUGCAAGUGAACAGAAAAGCUUAGAAGUAAACAUGUUUUUACCUACAUAAUAAAAUCUAUGUCGUCUGUUAACCUCAUGUUUUUACCAUCCUGUUUAAUUCAAUUAAAGUGAUAAGAAUGUGAAAAUGA
Molecule: long non-coding RNA, 4705 nt
Organism: Oncorhynchus keta (chum salmon)
Lineage: Eukaryota; Metazoa; Chordata; Actinopteri; Salmoniformes; Salmonidae
Exons: 4
Source: RefSeq, a predicted model, not a curated record